AUUGAACGCUGGCGGCAGGCUUAACACAUGCAAGUCGAGCGGGGUGAUGGUGCUUGCACUAUCACUUAGCGGCGGACGGGUGAGUAAUGCUUAGGAAUCCGCCUAUUAGUGGGGGACAACAUCUCGAAAGGGAUGCUAAUACCGCAUACGUCCUACGGGAGAAAGCAGGGGAUCACUUGUGACCUUGCGCUAAUAGAUGAGCCUAAGUCGGAUUAGCUAGUUGGUGGGGUAAAGGCCUACCAAGGCGACGAUCUGUAGCGGGUCUGAGAGGAUGAUCCGCCACACUGGGACUGAGACACGGCCCAGACUCCUACGGGAGGCAGCAGUGGGGAAUAUGGGACAAUGGGGGGAACCCUGAUCCAGCCAUGCCGCGUGUGUGAAGAAGGCCUUAUGGUUGUAAAGCACUUUAAGCGAGGAGGAGGCUCUUUUGGUUAAUACCCAAGAUGAGUGGACGUUACUCGCAGAAUAAGCACCGGCUAACUCUGUGCCAGCAGCCGCCGUAA
This 503-nucleotide ribosomal RNA is filed under the name uncultured bacterium. RNAcentral's name for it is "partial 16S ribosomal RNA". It matches the Rfam family "Bacterial small subunit ribosomal RNA", at positions 30 to 523 of the family's 1533-position model. The record is from RNAcentral.